This is a non-coding RNA of Paramuricea clavata, 868 nucleotides long. The record is from the annotation of a GenBank genome assembly. NCBI's taxonomy places the organism in Eukaryota, Metazoa, Cnidaria, Anthozoa, Malacalcyonacea, Plexauridae.
CACCGAAGGAAAAAACUAGUGGUCUGAUUUCUGUCUAUAAAAUUUAUUUAUGACAGAUUUAUACAUAUCUUUAUUUUCAAACUUUAAACUAAAUCCUGUCUAAUUUAUACAAUAACUGUACUCUAACUUUUUCUUUUUCAUAUAGGCUGCAGCUUCUUUUCAAAAUUUUCGACAAAUAACUUGUUUUAAAUAAUAUAUUAAGUAUAGGAUGAACUCCGAGAACGAGGGAUUUUCUCUUCCCGACUUUCGAGGUGUAUAUCAUAUUUAAUUCUAGAUAGAGGAGGUUUUCCAACAAAGUUUUGUUUGUUUCGUCUGAUUUGAACGACGAUUUUCUGAAUUUUUCUGAUUGCCUUAGAACAAAAAUGUAAAAAGUGUGCUGAUUGGUCGAAAAAUACAUCCCUCUUGUUUUUCCAGUAGGUGUCUAAAUCCGCGUCUUCGCUGUUAAACGUCGCUCUCUUGCGUUCUCUAUUGUUUUCUGUCCAUCAAAGCAAUCUGGUACAUAUUAUAUUGAAGUCUAGUGACUUUCAAGGAGAAUGGAACCAUAUAAUAUUAUGCUCUAUAGAUUUGGACAACUCCAUGAUUCUGAACAGUGUAUAUAGUCUUUUUUAUUUGCUAUGGAAAACUACAUAUUUUCGCGUUACUAUAUAUGCGUUCCAAAAUGCCUGGUGUUGAAAAAAUGAAAAAUCAUAAUGAAAUUCCCACAUGAAAUUAAACUACCUGCGUCCAGUUUGUGCCCAUCCAUAAUCAUUGCAUCACAUUCCACAUCCCCUUUAUCAGUUUUAAAUGAUCCACGGCCUGCGUUAAAAAUCCCAUUUUCCUCCAAACUAAAAAUAGCUUUUUCCACCGCAUCAACUGCUGUACCAUUGCC